RNAcentral lists this non-coding RNA (20 nucleotides) under Arabidopsis thaliana (thale cress). RNAcentral also lists the same sequence under 1 other name. Lineage: Eukaryota; Viridiplantae; Streptophyta; Magnoliopsida; Brassicales; Brassicaceae. The record is from RNAcentral.
UUGGCAGAAUCAGCGGGGAA